This 468-nucleotide ribosomal RNA is filed under the name uncultured bacterium. RNAcentral describes it as "partial 16S ribosomal RNA". It matches the Rfam family "Bacterial small subunit ribosomal RNA", at positions 28 to 507 of the family's 1533-position model. The record is from RNAcentral.
GACGAACGCUGGCGGCGUGCUUAACACAUGCAAGUCGAACGGAAAGGCCCUGCUUUUGUGGGGUGCUCGAGUGGCGAACGGGUGAGUAACACGUGAGUAACCUGCCCUUGACUUUGGGAUAACUUCAGGAAACUGGGGCUAAUACCGGAUAGGAGCUCCUGCUGCAUGGUGGGGGUUGGAAAGUUUCGGCGGUUGGGGAUGGACUCGCGGCUUAUCAGCUUGUUGGUGGGGUAGUGGCUUACCAAGGCUUUGACGGGUAGCCGGCCUGAGAGGGUGACCGGCCACAUUGGGACUGAGAUACGGCCCAGACUCCUACGGGAGGCAGAAGUGGGGAAUAUUGCACAAUGGGCGGAAGCCUGAUGCAGCAACGCCGCGGGCGGGAUGACGGCCUUCGGGUUGUAAACCGCUUUCGCCUGUGACGAAGCGUGAGUGACGGUAAGGGGUAAAGAAGCACCGGCUAACUACGUG